GGAUCAGUACGCUGGUCGUGCCUUCGGUAUGUACUGGUGUUACUGGUUCCUACCUUCUGACGAACCGUCAUGUCAUUAAUUUGGUGUGGCGGGGAAUCAGGACUGUUACUUUGAAAAAAUUAGAGUGUUCAAAGCAGGCUGUUUACAGCUUGAAUAUCUUAGCAUGGAAUAAUAGAAUAG
RNAcentral lists this ribosomal RNA (180 nucleotides) under uncultured Glomeromycotina. Its description in RNAcentral is "partial small subunit ribosomal RNA". Lineage: Eukaryota; Fungi; Glomeromycota. The record is from RNAcentral.